This is a long non-coding RNA of Sapajus apella (tufted capuchin), 339 nucleotides long. RefSeq lists it as uncharacterized. The transcript has 2 exons. Lineage: Eukaryota; Metazoa; Chordata; Mammalia; Primates; Cebidae. The record is from RefSeq and is a predicted model, not a curated record.
CCAUGUUGGCUGGGCUGGUCUUGAACUCCUGACCUCAAGUGAUCCACCCACCUCAGCCUCCCAAAGUGAAUGAGCAUGUUUUGACAAAUCACAUUGGACCCUGUCCACAGUCAAUUUCUAGCAAGAAUUUUCUUCAGCUGGUAGGUUGACAAUGAUUUCUUUGGUGUCUCUUUCAUUGGGAAUUCAUCCCUUUUCAUCUUUGUAAUUUUCAUAUUUUAGACUAAGAAUUUGACUCUUAGACUACUCUUUGCAGUGAGAUGUCUUUCCCUAAGAAGAUAGCUAGCCUAUGUUUUACCUUUUCUUUUUUUUAAUUUUUUGAACCCAUGAAAGCAUUUCUUU